CUAAUCCUCUUUCCUUCUUCAUUUUUCCUCGCUAUGAACAAAAUGCCAUCGUUUUUGUCUGUACACAGUUUUCCACUUUUCUCCAUUUCUUUACGCAACAUCCAUGCUCGCAAGCCUCUCUUCGUUAUCACUUCCAAACAAAUUACGUCCACCAGAAUUCUUUUUCUUCUGCUAUUUUUUGUGUAUGUAAUCUGCUUCAUGUUGCAUAUUGGUAAUAUAUUUUUUGUAGGCAGUAAAUGGCGGUGGUGUUGCAGUCAAAAGACGUGCUAAAAGCCUAGAAUGGGCUUAUAGAGGAGAAGGCGCAGUGAAUCUGGUUCUUGCUUAUUCUGGAAAAUCUGCUUAUUUUGUAUGUUUUCUUAUUCUAUUUUUUACUCUUACCUUUUAUUGUGUAGACUACUUUUUAGUUUAAUUUUUGUUAGCCUAAUUGGUUAACGCUUGUUCAAACUUCAGAUAAUUUCGUUUUACAUUAUGCAGUUGCAGACCCACGUGAUCUCUCUCAAAAGUUGUUCCUGAUGUCGUUUCCGGUUUCCAUCCAUCACUAUUCAACUAAAAGGCCGAGUUUCGAUGAGUCAUUCUUCCGAGUGAUCGAAAUCGAGAUUCAGCGUGCCCAGGAGAGCGAGGACGAUGACGAGGUUUUAUUUCUUUUAUCUUUUUAAUAUCUUUAUGUAAAUAACUUGUCUUUGUUAUGUGGAUAGAUUGCAAGAAAACGAUGGAAAAUAAGGGGUGAUGUAUUCAAUUUCCUUUUGAAAUUGAAUACCAUCCUCGACAACAAACCAUAACCCUAGCCAGAGAAUAUCAGGAUGAAGCUAUCAUUCUAUACUGGUAAAUUCCCUUUUUUUUUUUUUUUCUUUUUCUUUCUUAGUUUUAGUAGUUUGAUUUAUUUUUUAUGGGUUUUCUGAAGUGCGUUUUACUGCAAUUCCUCGGUGGCUUCAAGUAAUGCUAAGUGGAAAGUUUUUUCAAUUCUUCUGCAACUUAUUGAGAAUUUUCAGAUAAGAAGGUAUGUUUAUGAAGAUGUUUUUGUGCUUAAAAGAUGCAUAGAAAUUUGUGGUCGGUUACCUUUGGAAAUAAGUUAUAAUGUCUUUUCUGAUAUGGUGCGAUCGUUUUCUCACUUUCUGAUUUACAGUCUUGCACAAAGUUGUAUCAUAUUAUGAAAAUUGAAUGAUUGGGCGUAGGAAGUAUA
This 1180-nucleotide long non-coding RNA is filed under the name Olea europaea subsp. europaea. Lineage: Eukaryota; Viridiplantae; Streptophyta; Magnoliopsida; Lamiales; Oleaceae. The record is from RNAcentral.